This 253-nucleotide ribosomal RNA is filed under the name uncultured bacterium. RNAcentral's name for it is "partial 16S ribosomal RNA". It matches the Rfam family "Bacterial small subunit ribosomal RNA", at positions 524 to 776 of the family's 1533-position model. The record is from RNAcentral.
UACAGAGGGUGCAAGCGUUGUUCGGAAUUACUGGGCGUAAAGCGUGCGUAGACGGUUAUUUAAGUCAGGUGUGAAAGCCCCGGGCUCAACCUGGGAAUUGCAUUUGAGACUGAAUAGCUAGGGUGCGGAAGAGGGAAGCGGAAUUUCCGGUGUAGCGGUGAAAUGCGUAGAUAUCGGAAGGAACACCAGUGGCGAAAGCGGCUUCCUGGUCCAGCACCGACGUUCAGGCACGAAAGCGUGGGGAGCAAACAGG